GUGGGGGGUUAAGUACGUAGGCGCCAUGGAUGGCGAAUCGUGCAUGCUACUGGCACGGGCCGGUAGUAUCUAUGAAGAUUCCCACCUC
Molecule: non-coding RNA, 88 nt
Organism: Glossina brevipalpis
Lineage: Eukaryota; Metazoa; Arthropoda; Insecta; Diptera; Glossinidae
Source: Rfam